GAUGAAGAACGUAGCGAAAUGCGAUAAGUAAUGUGAAUUGCAGAACUCAGUGAAUCAUCGAAUCUUUGAACGCACAUUGCGCCCCCUGGCAUUCCGGGGGGCAUGCCUGUCCGAGCGUCAUUUCUGCCCUCAAGCACGGCUUGUGUGUUGGGUGCGGUCCCCCCGGGGACCUGCCCGAAAGGCAGCGGCGACGUCCGUCUGGUCCUCGAGCGUAUGGGGCUCUGUCACUCGCUCGGGAAGGACCUGCGGGGGUUGGUCACCACUAUAUUUUACCACGGUUGACCUCGGAUCAGGUAGGAGUUACCCGCUGAACUUAAGCAUAUCAAUAAGCGGAGGA
This 337-nucleotide unclassified non-coding RNA is filed under the name soil metagenome. RNAcentral's name for it is "partial contains 5.8S ribosomal RNA, internal transcribed spacer 2, and large subunit ribosomal RNA". The stretch from base 1 to 120 matches the Rfam family "5.8S ribosomal RNA", at positions 35 to 154 of the family's 154-position model. The record is from RNAcentral.